Molecule: ribosomal RNA, 380 nt
Filed under: uncultured bacterium
Lineage: Bacteria
Description: bacterial SSU rRNA
Rfam family: Bacterial small subunit ribosomal RNA
Source: RNAcentral
CGGUAAUACGUAGGGUGCAAGCGUUAAUCGGAAUUACUGGGCGUAAAGCGUGCGCAGGCGGUGAUGUAAGACAGAUGUGAAAUCCCCGGGCUCAACCUGGGAACUGCAUUUGUGACUGCAUCGCUGGAGUGCGGCAGAGGGGGAUGGAAUUCCGCGUGUAGCAGUGAAAUGCGUAGAUAUGCGGAGGAACACCGAUGGCGAAGGCAAUCCCCUGGGCCUGCACUGACGCUCAUGCACGAAAGCGUGGGGAGCAAACAGGAUUAGAUACCCUGGUAGUCCACGCCCUAAACGAUGUCAACUGGUUGUUGGGUCUUCACUGACUCAGUAACGAAGCUAACGCGUGAAGUUGACCGCCUGGGGAGUACGGCCGCAAGGUUGAA